GAUGAACGCUGGCGGCGUGCCUAAUACAUGCAAGUCGAGCGAACGGACGAGAAGCUUGCUUUUCUGAUGUUAGCGGCGGACGGGUGAGUAACACGUGGAUAACCUACCUAUAAGACUGGGAUAACUUCGGGAAACCGGAGCUAAUACCGGAUAAUAUUUUGAACCGCAUGGUUCAAAAGUGAAAGACGGUCUUGCUGUCACUUAUAGAUGGAUCCGCGCUGCAUUAGCUAGUUGGUAAGGUAACGGCUUACCAAGGCAACGAUGCAUAGCCGACCUGAGAGGGUGAUCGGCCACACUGAAACUGAGACACGGUCCAGACUCCUACGGGAGGCAGCAGUAGGGAAUCUUCCGCAAUGGGCGAGAGCCUGACGGAGCAACGCCACGUGAGUGAUGAAGGUCUUCGGAUCGUAAAACUCUGUUAUUAGGGAAGAACAUAUGUGUAAGUAACUGUGCACAUCUUGACGGUACCUAAUCAGAAAGCCACGGCUAACUACGUG
Molecule: ribosomal RNA, 497 nt
Filed under: uncultured bacterium
Lineage: Bacteria
Description: partial 16S ribosomal RNA
Rfam family: Bacterial small subunit ribosomal RNA
Source: RNAcentral